UCAAUUGCGGCAGCAGUCAAG
This 21-nucleotide non-coding RNA is filed under the name Caenorhabditis elegans. The record is from RNAcentral. Lineage: Eukaryota; Metazoa; Nematoda; Chromadorea; Rhabditida; Rhabditidae.